RNAcentral lists this ribosomal RNA (459 nucleotides) under uncultured bacterium. RNAcentral describes it as "partial 16S ribosomal RNA". It matches the Rfam family "Bacterial small subunit ribosomal RNA", at positions 338 to 795 of the family's 1533-position model. The record is from RNAcentral.
CCUACGGGAGGCAGCAGUGAGGAAUAUUGGUCAAUGGACGAGAGUCUGAACCAGCCAAGUAGCGUGAAGGAUGACUGCCCUAUGGGUUGUAAACUUCUUUUAUAAAGGAAUAAAACGAGGCACGUGUGCCUUUUUGCAUGUACUUUAUGAAUAAGGCACGGCAAACUCCGUGCCAGCAGCCGCGGUAAUACGGGGGAUCCGAGGGUUAUCCGGAUUUAUUGGGUUUAAAGGGUGCGCAGGCGGAGGCACAAGUCAGCGGUAAAAUGGCGGGGCUCAACCCCGGUCCGCCGUUGAAACUGUGUCCCUUGAGUGCGGGAGGGGUAGGCGGAAUGCGUGGUGUAGCGGUGAAAUGCAUAGAUAUCACGCAGAACUCCGAUCGCGAAGGCAGCCUACCGGCGCGCAACUGACGCUGAGGCACGAAAGCGUGGGUAUCGAACAGGAUUAGAUACCCGGGUAGUC